AGUAGCCAAGCUUUUGUUCGUAGUCGUAUUAUUAAUAUUAGGUCGUUCGCGUCGUGAAUACGAAUUGGAAGUUUACCACAAAGUUGACCCUUUUAAAAUAGAAAAAUUAAAAGUUAAGAUGUAUAGAAAGGCCAAUAGGUUCGUAGGCAUAAUUAUUCCUAUUAUGUAAAAGAGCUGCUUUGAGGAAAACUGUGAGAGAAAAAAAAAUUUUAAAUUGAUGAUGCUUAGUGAAUUGAAACUAGUGCCAUAUUUAUUCUCAUUAUUCAAAACUGCUUUAGGAAAGAUUUUAAAUGAAAAACUUUGUUAGGGGCUGCAAGAAUAUAAUUUUUUAGAACUGCUAGACAUGGAAAAGUUUGGGAACCUGUGUCUUAGAAGAUGAUAUUGUGAAGUUCAGUUUUGAACUAAUAAAGAAUACUGUAUAUGUACAUAUAAAAAAAUCUAAUAUCUA
Stegodyphus dumicola is the source of this 448-nucleotide long non-coding RNA. The record is from RefSeq and is a predicted model, not a curated record. Lineage: Eukaryota; Metazoa; Arthropoda; Arachnida; Araneae; Eresidae.